CCGCUGUUUGGAGCGGGGCCUCCGGAUACCUGGAACGUGUUCAGGUUGCCGGACACGACCUUCGCGCCCAUUGUUGAGUCGGUGUCGGUGUA
RNAcentral lists this transfer RNA (92 nucleotides) under Posidoniimonas corsicana. RNAcentral describes it as "Planctomycetes bacterium KOR34 tRNA-Ser". Lineage: Bacteria; Pseudomonadati; Planctomycetota; Planctomycetia; Pirellulales; Lacipirellulaceae. The record is from RNAcentral.